CGGCCAGAGCCUAAAGCUUUGCUGCUGGGCAGUUCGCUGGAGGGACUGCUGCUUGGAACACUUGGAGUCUCCGCGGGCAGGUGAGCUUCAGAGGUUCGGGGAGCUUCCGGAACGAGCAUUCCUGGCCGAUCUCAUAUUUUGGAUUCUGGAUAUAUUAUAAUGAGUGACACUUUGACAGCGGAUGUCAUUGGUCAAAGAGUUGAAGUUAAUGGAGAACAUGCAACAGUACGUUUUGCUGGUGUUGUCCCUCCCGUGGCAGGACCCUGGUUAGGAGUAGAAUGGGACAAUCCCGAGAGAGGAAAGCAUGAUGGGAGCCACGAAGGGACUGUGUAUUUUCAAUGCAGGCACCCAACAGGAGGAUCCUUUAUUCGUCCAAACAAGGUAAAUUUUGGAACAGACUUUCUUACUGCAAUUAAGAACCGCUAUGUGUUAGAAGAUGGACCAGAGGAAGAUAGAAAAGAGCAAAUUGUUACAAUUGGAAAUAAACCUGUGGAGACUAUCGGUUUUGACUCUAUUAUGAAACAGCAAAGGGCCAGUGGAUAGCAUACGUGCUUAUGUAUCCCUGUGAACUCUGUUUUUCAUGCAGUCAGCUGAGCAAGUUGCAAGAAGUUUCUCUGAGGAACUGUGCAGUAAGUUGUGCUGGUGAAAAAGGAGGAGUUGCCGAAGGAUGUCCUAAUAUUAGAAAGGUAGAUUUGUCAAAAAACCUGUUGUCAUCAUGGGAUGAAGUGAUACACAUUGCUGAUCAGCUCAGACACCUGGAAGUCCUUAAUGUCAGUGAAAAUAAACUAAAAUUUCCCUCCGGUUCAGUAUUAACUGGAACGCUUUCUGCACUGAAGGUUUUAGUCCUCAAUCAAACAGGAAUAACGUGGGCUGAGGUGCUGCGGUGUGCCAUGGGAUGCCCAGGCCUGGAGGAACUCUACCUUGAGUCUAACAAUAUUUUCAUUUCCGAAAGGCCAACAGAUGUUCUCCAGACAGUCAAGUUAUUAGACCUUUCCUCUAAUCAAUUAAUUGAUGAAAAUCAGCUGUAUCUGAUAGCCCACCUGCCCAGGU
This 1050-nucleotide small RNA is filed under the name Pongo abelii (Sumatran orangutan). RNAcentral describes it as "processed transcript". The record is from RNAcentral. Lineage: Eukaryota; Metazoa; Chordata; Mammalia; Primates; Hominidae.